RNAcentral lists this ribosomal RNA (429 nucleotides) under Gemmatimonadota bacterium. RNAcentral's name for it is "Gemmatimonadetes bacterium partial 16S ribosomal RNA". It matches the Rfam family "Bacterial small subunit ribosomal RNA", at positions 355 to 776 of the family's 1533-position model. The record is from RNAcentral. Lineage: Bacteria; Pseudomonadati; Gemmatimonadota.
UAGGGAAUCUUCGGCAAUGGACGAAAGUCUGACCGAGCAACGCCGCGUGAGUGAAGAAGGUUUUCGGAUCGUAAAACUCUGUUGUUAGAGAAGAACAAGGACGUUAGUAACUGAACGUCCCCUGACGGUAUCUAACCAGAAAGCCACGGCUAACUACGUGCCAGCAGCCGCGGUAAUACGUAGGUGGCAAGCGUUGUCCGGAUUUAUUGGGCGUAAAGCGAGCGCAGGCGGUUUCUUAAGUCUGAUGUGAAAGCCCCCGGCUCAACCGGGGAGGGUCGUUGGAAACUGGGAGACUUGAGUGCAGAAGAGGAGAGUGGAAUUCCAUGUGUAGCGGUGAAAUGCGUAGAUAUAUGGAGGAACACCAGUGGCGAAGGCGGCUCUCUGGUCUGUAACUGACGCUGAGGCUCGAAAGCGUGGGGAGCAAACAGG